CCAAAUGAUUUAUCGCCAUAGGAUGGGACUGCGGCCUAUCAGUUUGUUGGUGAGGUAAUGGCCCACCAAGACUAUUACAGGUACGGGCUCUGAGAGGAGUAGCCCGGAGAUGGGUACUGAGACACGGACCCAGGCCCUAUGGGGCGCAGCAGGCGAGAAAACUUUGCAAUGUGCGAAAGCACGACAAGGUUAAUCCGAGUGAUUUGUGCUAAACGAAUCUUUUGUUAGUCCUAGAAACACUAACGAAUAAGGGGUGGGCAAGUUCUGGUGUCAGCCGCCGCGGUAAAACCAGCACCUCAAGUGGUCAGGAUGAUUAUUGGGCCUAAAGCAUCCGUAGCCGGCUCUGUAAGUUUUCGGUUAAAUCUGUACGCUUAACGCACAGGCAGCCGGGAAUACUGCAGAGCUAGGGAGUGGGAGAGGUAGACGGUACUCGGUAGGAAGUGGUAAAAUGCUUUGAUCUAUCGAUGACCACCUGUGGCGAAGGCGGUCUACCAGAACACGUCCGACGGUGAGGGAUGAAAGCUGGGGGAGCAAACCGGAUUAGAUACCCGGGUAGUCCCAGCUGUAAACUAUGCAAACUCAGUGAUGCAUUGGCUUGUGGCCAAUGCAGUGCUGCAGGGAAGCCGUUAAGUUUGCCGCCUGGGAAGUACGUACGCAAGUAUGAAACUUAAAGGAAUUGGCGGGGGAGCACCACAAGGGGUGAAGCCUGCGGUUCAAUUGGAGUCAACGCCGGA
This 734-nucleotide ribosomal RNA is filed under the name uncultured crenarchaeote. Its description in RNAcentral is "bacterial SSU rRNA". It matches the Rfam family "Archaeal small subunit ribosomal RNA", at positions 187 to 922 of the family's 1478-position model. The record is from RNAcentral. Lineage: Archaea; Thermoproteati; Thermoproteota.